UUGGUGGGUGUCGUGUCAAUGCUACCCAUGCUCAGGCACCUGUAAAUUGGACACGAAAAGUUCAUCAGACUCGUAACUGCUGACUUGGUAACUCCACAAUCAAUCAAGCUGCGGUCUUUGACAACAAAUUCAUGAGCUGUACCAAUCUCCUGAUACCACCUGGCAUGAGCAUUUUCUACAUGCACUUCACGGAAGCCAUGUAGCAU
RNAcentral lists this long non-coding RNA (206 nucleotides) under Elaeis guineensis (African oil palm). RNAcentral's name for it is "long non-coding RNA (EGUI_LNC021128)". Lineage: Eukaryota; Viridiplantae; Streptophyta; Magnoliopsida; Arecales; Arecaceae. The record is from RNAcentral.